AACGAACGCUGGCGGCAUGCCUAACACAUGCAAGUCGAACGAGACCUUCGGGUCUAGUGGCGCACGGGUGCGUAACGCGUGGGAACCUGCCUUUAGGUUCGGAAUAACUCAGAGAAAUUUGAGCUAAUACCGGAUAAUGUCUUCGGACCAAAGAUUUAUCGCCUUUAGAUGGGCCCGCGUUGGAUUAGCUAGUUGGUGGGGUAAAGGCCUACCAAGGGGACGAGCCAUAGCUGGUCUGAGAGGAUGAUCAGCCACACUGGGACUGAGACACGGCCCCGACUCCUACGGGAGGAAGCAGUGGGGAAUAUUGGACAACGGGCGAAAGCCUGCUCCAGCAAUGCCGCGGGAGUGAUGAAGGCCUUAGGGUUGUAAAGCUCUUUUACCCGAGAGGAUAAUGACAGUAUCGGGAGAAUAAGCUCCGGCUAACUCCGUGCCAGCCGCCGCCGUAA
Molecule: ribosomal RNA, 449 nt
Filed under: uncultured bacterium
Lineage: Bacteria
Description: partial 16S ribosomal RNA
Rfam family: Bacterial small subunit ribosomal RNA
Source: RNAcentral